RNAcentral lists this ribosomal RNA (487 nucleotides) under uncultured bacterium. Its description in RNAcentral is "bacterial SSU rRNA". It matches the Rfam family "Bacterial small subunit ribosomal RNA", at positions 29 to 494 of the family's 1533-position model. The record is from RNAcentral.
AACGAACGCUGGCGGCGUGGAUAAGACAUGCAAGUCGAACGGGAACUUCAGCUGUAGCAAUACAGUUGAAGUUUUAGUGGCGAACGGGUGCGUAACACGUGGGCAAUCUGCCGAGAAGUGGGGGAUAGCUCGCCGAAAGGCGAAUUAAUACCGCAUAUGAUCAGCUAAGACAUCUUAGCGACAUCAAAGCCGGGGCAACCUGGCGCUUUUUGAGGAGCCCGCGGCCUAUCAGCUAGUUGGUGAGGUAACGGCUCACCAAGGCUAUGACGGGUAGCUGGUCUGAGAGGACGACCAGUCACACUGGAACUGAGACACGGUCCAGACACCUACGGGUGGCAGCAGUCGAGAAUUUUUCUCAAUGGGGGCAACCCUGAAGGAGCGACGCCGCGUGGAGGAUGAAGGCUUUCGGUUGUAAACUCCUGUCAUUUGAGAACAAGGUGCAUCGGUUAACUGCCGGUGCAUUGAUAGUAUCAGAAGAGGAAGAGAC